AAGGUGAAAAGAACCCCGGGUGGGGAGUGAAAUAGAACCUGAAACCCUGCACUUACAAGCUGUGGAAGCACAUUUCUUGUGUGACCGCGUACUUUUUGUAGAACGGGCCAACGAGUUACGUUAAGUAGCACGGUUAAGCACUUAAGGUGUGGAGCCGUAGCGAAAGCGAGUUUUAACUGAGCGUUCAGUUACUUGACGUAGACCCGAAACCGGGCGACCUACCCAUGAGCAGGAUGAAGCGAAAGUAAAAUUUCGUGGAGGUCCGAACCCACGAGCGUUGAAAAGCUCGGGGAUGACUUGUGGGUAGCGGUGAAAUUCCAAUCGAGCCCGGAGAUAGCUGGUUCUCCCCGAAAUAGCUUUAGGGCUAGCCUCAAGGUGAGAGAUACGGAGGUAGAGCACUGAAUGUCCUAGGGGGUAUUGCACCUACCGAAGACUAUCAAACUCCGAAUGCCGUCAUCUUAUACUUGGGAGUCAGACUGUGGGUGAUAAGAUUCAUAGUCGAAAGGGCAACAGCCCAGAUCGUCAGCUAAGGUCCCUAAAUGUAAGUUAAGUGGUAAAGGAUGUGGGAUUGCACAGACAACCAGGAUGUUGGCUUAG
This 597-nucleotide ribosomal RNA is filed under the name Clostridioides difficile. RNAcentral describes it as "partial 23S ribosomal RNA". It matches the Rfam family "Bacterial large subunit ribosomal RNA", at positions 511 to 1109 of the family's 2925-position model. Lineage: Bacteria; Bacillati; Bacillota; Clostridia; Peptostreptococcales; Peptostreptococcaceae. The record is from RNAcentral.